CAACAUUCUUCCGCCUCUACGCGCCUCCGUGGGCAGCUCCGGCGAGCGCCGCACCUCCGUAGCAGAUCGGUACGUCUCGUCGAGCACCACCGGGGCUAGGUCCAGCGACUCUAGAAUCUAGAUCCUGGCCACUGAGGGGAGGAGCUAGGCACGGCUCCGCCGGAGAAGAUGAAGGUGGCCACCAGAGAUGAAGGUGGCAUGGAUCCGGCCAUGGUGGUCGCGCCCUCCCCGUUUACUUUCCUCCUCCCCCAUCUCCAGUGGUUGGAGUUAGGGUUCCGGCGAGUGGGGUGGGGGCGGAUCCGACCAUGGCGGUCGUGGCGAGGUCCCUGCUUACCCGCGAUGGGGUGCGACGGUGGAUCCAAGGGAUCCGGUCCGGGUGGGGCGUGGAUGCGCAUGUUUCGCAUGGCUGGGAGGCGGAGGCGGGGUAUUCAAUGCUGGGAGCGACGAGAGGGGGUGGUGCGCAUGCUGCGAUGGUGGGGCUGGGACCAGAACAUUGCAGGACAGCGCAUGUCGUGGGGGCGAGCACGCAAUGAAAGACUGGGCCGGGCCGCUGCUAGCCUGACCGUCCUAAGGUUAGGAUGUCCGAGCGCUAGCAGUUCCCAUAGAAAUUGAUUGUGUAGCUUCUCCCAAUAUUCUUGCACACAAUCCAUAUUAAGUUUAUACCAAUAUUUAACUUUUCUCAUUAAAGAAAAUGGAAAUAGUUUUCAUUGGAUGGUCU
Sorghum bicolor (sorghum) is the source of this 718-nucleotide long non-coding RNA. RefSeq lists it as uncharacterized. The record is from RefSeq and is a predicted model, not a curated record. Lineage: Eukaryota; Viridiplantae; Streptophyta; Magnoliopsida; Poales; Poaceae. The transcript is spliced from 2 exons.